GAGAGAGAGAUGAAGUAGGCACAAAGCCUUUCAAAUCAAAUAACAAUAUUAUUCCACUACAAAAAAGCACAGACAUGGGUAUUUAUAGAGAUAUAAUUAAUCCUACUCCUGGAAUUAGGAAUUCCAAACUAGAAAGAUUUCAAUCUUAUCCCUAGGAUUAUGAAUGCCAAACAAGAAAAUUCUAAACCAAUUUUUCUUGUAGAUGAAGUAGACCUGGCCAGCCAAUAGGAAUACAUCUUGUAGUUAUCAAUUCUCGUUACAUUAAGUUUGGCUUCUUAUUUCACAUUGAAUAUGGAGUAUUAUGCAAUUAUUAUUAAUUAUGUUCUUCUUUUGCAGAUUGG
Molecule: unclassified non-coding RNA, 341 nt
Filed under: Hevea brasiliensis (rubber tree)
Lineage: Eukaryota; Viridiplantae; Streptophyta; Magnoliopsida; Malpighiales; Euphorbiaceae
Source: RNAcentral